UGAUUUUCUUCUUCUUUGUGGUCUUUUUCUCCUGAAAGUUGGGGCCCAGUCCUUGGCUGUCUCCAUGUAAUGAUCUUGGACCAUGGUAGAAAAUGCACCAAAUAGGAUCAUAUGAAUUGCUGUCUAGCCUUAGUCAAUAAACCUGUAGGACUUCUAACAAAAGUGUACCUGUAAAUGUCCUGAAUCCAGCAUUGUUAAGCUGUCAUCAACAGUCUUGUGUCUGUUUUACUGUUAUAAUAUUAGGUAAAUAUGGAAGUAAAAGCAUUCCACAGGAUCAUCAUUUUAAAAAAGGAAUUCAAGUCCUAUUUUCUAAAUACAGUAGAAAUUAAUUCAGAUCUAUUUAUUAAUAAGCGUUUCAGAUCUCUGCAGCUGCCAGUGUGGGACUCAUCUUUACCUUAAACCAGGAACCAGAGGCUUUUGUUUGCUUAAAUAUGAUUCUCUUAAACUUUUGUAUUCAAGAAAUUAAAAUCCUCCUUUGGGGAUAAUUCUUGUUUAUUCUGCCAUCACAGACUAUGUUUUAACUUAUAGAUUGGUGGUUCGAUACCUGUUAGACACUUGCUAAUGUUUCCAGAAGGACUUCCUGUAUUGGUGAAAGUAAAGAUGAUUGGGGAGGGAGGAUGAUUUUUGUCCUUAUUGUACCCUUGGUUUGACACUAGAAAUCUGUCCUGUGGCAUGCAAGACAAAGCAAAUUAUUUUUAAAAGAAAAAAGAUAACCAAAGUACUUUGGUGUCAUUAUUCUACCCUCUCCAUUCAAUGAGAAGUGAAAUGAAAAGUGAGAACAGCUAUCUUCCAAGGUUUUUUAGGAACUCAACUGGAAAGAAAAGAAAUGAAGAAGUACUUCUGGAUCCAAGUGUCCGUCACAGGAUCGGCCUUAACGUCUCUGAGCUCAUGGCCAGUGCCUCCCUCGAGUGUUCCAUGCCAGGCGCUGGCCCCUCACGCAGAGGUUAACUAGUGUCCAUGCAGAAAACAUCUUUCCAGACCCGUUCUUUGGGGCAGUAAUGUAAAUGCAGAUUGAUAAUGAAGUGAUUUCUGCAUUUUAAAAAGGGGAUUUUUUUACACUGUUUCUUUCUAUCCAAAGAAACUAUUUUUUUCCUUUAAAAAAUUAUAAUACAGCCAUGCUCCUUGUAAUUUACUUCUCUGAAGUGUCCUCCCAGAGGACAAGUGUGCUUUUCCAAGAAUGUUAUGACUCUUUAUGAUGAUUGGCAUGAACCGUACUUGAAGCAUUUGUUGUAUAGUCAACUUCUUAAUGUGCAAUUACAGAGAUACUUUGCAAGUCAUUUUGGACAUUAGGUGACUGAUUAAUUGUGUG
RNAcentral lists this long non-coding RNA (1309 nucleotides) under Heterocephalus glaber (naked mole-rat). RNAcentral's name for it is "lncRNA (ENSHGLG00100048447.1)". Lineage: Eukaryota; Metazoa; Chordata; Mammalia; Rodentia; Bathyergidae. The record is from RNAcentral.